This 109-nucleotide ribosomal RNA is filed under the name Pteropus alecto (black flying fox). Lineage: Eukaryota; Metazoa; Chordata; Mammalia; Chiroptera; Pteropodidae. The record is from RNAcentral.
AUCUACCACCGUGCUACCCUGAACAAGCUUGAUCUCAUAAGCUAAGCAGAGUCGGGCCUGGUUAGUACUUGGAUGGGAGACCACCUAGGAAGACCAGGUGCUGUAGGCA